Molecule: ribosomal RNA, 253 nt
Filed under: uncultured bacterium
Lineage: Bacteria
Description: partial 16S ribosomal RNA
Rfam family: Bacterial small subunit ribosomal RNA
Source: RNAcentral
UACGUAGGGUGCGAGCGUUAUUCGGAAUUACUGGGCGUAAAGCGUGCGUAGGCGGUUCGUCAAGUCUGAUGUGAAAGCCCCGGGCUCAACCUGGGAACUGCAUUGGAAACUAGCGAGCUUGAGUGUGGCAGAGGGGGGUGGAGUUCCACGUGUAGCAGUGAAAUGCGUAGAGAUGUGGAGGAACACCGAUGGCGAAGGCAGCCCCCUGGGCUAACACUGACGCUCAGGCACGAAAGCGUGGGGAGCAAACAGG